Long non-coding RNA from Physeter macrocephalus (sperm whale), 229 nucleotides. RefSeq lists it as uncharacterized. The transcript is spliced from 3 exons. The record is from RefSeq and is a predicted model, not a curated record. Lineage: Eukaryota; Metazoa; Chordata; Mammalia; Artiodactyla; Physeteridae.
CGCCGCGUUCCUGUUACCCCCGGGCUGGACUGGGGGACCCAGGAAGGCGGGGAAGCGGGCCUCGUAAAGGAACAGGAGGACGGCAGCCAGCGGGGAGCUGGGCGCGGCAGGCUGGUGCAGGCGGAAGGUCGCACAAGCAGAGGAAAGCGCAUUGGAAGCCAAUUGGGAUGUAUGCCUGGAAAGAAAAUCAGAAAUUUGGCUCUGAAAGAAUACAUAGAAAGCAAUAGGA